This 861-nucleotide ribosomal RNA is filed under the name Clitocybe brunneocaperata. RNAcentral's name for it is "LSU rRNA". It matches the Rfam family "Eukaryotic large subunit ribosomal RNA", at positions 75 to 918 of the family's 3401-position model. Lineage: Eukaryota; Fungi; Basidiomycota; Agaricomycetes; Agaricales; Clitocybaceae. The record is from RNAcentral.
UUCCCCUAGUAACUGCGAGUGAAGCGGGAAAAGCUCAAAUUUAAAAUCUGGCGGUCCCUGUGGCUGUCCGAGUUGUAAUCUAGAGAAGUGCUAUCCGCGCUGGACCGUGUACAAGUCUCCUGGAACGGAGCGUCAUAGAGGGUGAGAAUCCCGUCUUUGACACGGACUACCAGGGCUUUGUGAUGUGCUCUCAAAGAGUCGAGUUGUUUGGGAAUGCAGCUCUAAAUGGGUGGUAAAUUCCAUCUAAAGCUAAAUAUUGGCGAGAGACCGAUAGCGAACAAGUACCGUGAGGGAAAGAUGAAAAGAACUUUGGAAAGAGAGUUAAACAGUACGUGAAAUUGUUGAAAGGGAAACGCUUGAAGUCAGUCGCGUUGGCCGGGGAUCAACCUUGCUCUUUUGCUUGGUGUACUUCCCAGUCGACGGGUCAGCAUCAAUUUUGACCGGUGGAUAAAGGUCAGGGGAAUGUGGCAUCUUCGGAUGUGUUAUAGCCCUUGGUUGCAUACAUCGGUUGGGAUUGAGGAACUCAGCACGCCGCAAGGCCGGGUCUUUGACCACGUACGUGCUUAGGAUGCUGGCAUAAUGGCUUUAAUCGACCCGUCUUGAAACACGGACCAAGGAGUCUAACAUGCCCGCGAGUGUUUGGGUGGAAAACCCGGACGCGUAAUGAAAGUGAAAGUUGAGAUCCCUGUCGUGGGGAGCAUCGACGCCCGGACCAGACCUUUUGUGACGGUCCCGCGGUAGAGCGUGUAUGUUGGGACCCGAAAGAUGGUGAACUAUGCCUGAAUAGGGUGAAGCCAGAGGAAACUCUGGUGGAGGCUCGUAGCGAUUCUGACGUGCAAAUCGAUCGUCGAAUUUGGGUAU